This 479-nucleotide ribosomal RNA is filed under the name uncultured bacterium. RNAcentral's name for it is "partial 16S ribosomal RNA". It matches the Rfam family "Bacterial small subunit ribosomal RNA", at positions 28 to 507 of the family's 1533-position model. The record is from RNAcentral.
GAUGAACGCUGGCGGCGUGCUUAACACAUGCAAGUCGAACGAAGCACUUAAGAUUGCUUCUUCGGAUGACGUCUUUUGUGACUUAGUGGCGGACGGGUGAGUAACGCGUGGGUAACCUGCCUCACACAGGGGGAUAACAGUUAGAAAUGACUGCUAAUACCGCAUAACCCGAUAGGAUCGCAUGAUCCAGACGGAAAAGAUUUAUCGGUGUGAGAUGGACCCGCGUCUGAUUAGCUAGUUGGUGAGGUAACGGCCCACCAAGGCGACGAUCAGUAGCCGGCCUGAGAGGGUGAACGGCCACAGUGGGACUGAGACACGGCCCAAACUCCUACGGGAGGCAGCAGUGGGGAAUAUUGCACAAUGGGGGAAACCCUGAUGCAGCGACGCCGCGUGAGUGAAGAAGUAUUUCGGUAUGUAAAGCUCUAUCAGCAGGGAAGAAAAUGACGGUACCUGACUAAGAAGCCCCGGCUAACUACGUG